RNAcentral lists this ribosomal RNA (541 nucleotides) under Seiridium sp. RNAcentral's name for it is "SSU rRNA". It matches the Rfam family "Eukaryotic small subunit ribosomal RNA", at positions 550 to 1098 of the family's 1831-position model. The record is from RNAcentral. Lineage: Eukaryota; Fungi; Ascomycota; Sordariomycetes; Amphisphaeriales; Sporocadaceae.
GGAGGGCAAGUCUGGUGCCAGCAGCCGCGGUAAUUCCAGCUCCAAUAGCGUAUAUUAAAGUUGUUGCAGUUAAAAAGCUCGUAGUUGAACCUUGGGCCUGGCUGGCCGGUCCGUCCAACCGCGUGCACUGGUUCGGCCGGGCCUUUCCCUCUGGGGAACCCUAUGGUCUUCACUGAUCGUAGCGGGGAACCAGGACUUUUACUGUGAAAAAAUUAGAGUGUUCAAAGCAGGCCUAUGCUCGAAUACAUUAGCAUGGAAUAAUAAAAUAGGACGUGUGGUUCUAUUUUGUUGGUUUCUAGGACCGCCGUAAUGAUUAAUAGGGACAGUCGGGGGCAUCAGUAUUCAAUUGUCAGAGGUGAAAUUCUUGGAUUUAUUGAAGACUAACUACUGCGAAAGCAUUUGCCAAGGAUGUUUUCAUUAAUCAGGAACGAAAGUUAGGGGAUCGAAGACGAUCAGAUACCGUCGUAGUCUUAACCAUAAACUAUGCCGACUAGGGAUCGGACGGUGUUAUUUUUUGACCCGUUCGGCACCUUAGGGAAAC